CACCAUCGUUCUGUCACCUGAAUGAUGUCAUCAUUCUAGGGACCAGAGAAGAUCAGUUGGGAGGGUUGGCUCUUCGGUUGAGGGUCUCUCUGCUAUAUAAUCCAGGAUGGCCUCAUACGCGUGAUCCUCCUGCUUCAGCCUCCCAAUAGCUGUGAUUACAGUUGAAGAAACAGAAGCUCAGAGAUGUGAAGCCACUUGUGUGAGGACACCUAGCUGUGAAGGGGAGGAUCUGGAAUUUGAACUCGUGCUUUUACAUGUCAUAGAUGCUACUUCUCACAGGGGACCGAAGGCAGCCAACUGGCCGAGGGCCUGGCCAUUGAUUUCUGUUCCCUUGGUCUCAGUCUCCCCAUCUGUUCAAGGGAAGAGUUACCGCUGCUCCUUAAAUUCCCUAAACCUGACUCACUGGGCUCUUAAGAUUGUCAGAUGAAAGAAAUACCACUACGGGACACCCGAAAAGUAAAUUUCAAUUUCCCAUAAACAGUGAAUGAUUCUUCAGUGUCCGUAUGCCCCCAAUAUGAAUGAGGUUAAGUACAGUGCAUGAGCCCCCAGUCCCUGCACCCGCUCCCGCCUCCAGACUACAAAUCCCAUAACCCAUUGCAUCAUCCCUUUAGCAACGGGCUAUCAUGAUUAUUUUUACUCUUUUUUCAUUCAUUCAUCCUAAAAUUGUAUGUAGCCCAUCCAUGGGGUGCC
Heterocephalus glaber (naked mole-rat) is the source of this 690-nucleotide non-coding RNA. NCBI's taxonomy places the organism in Eukaryota, Metazoa, Chordata, Mammalia, Rodentia, Bathyergidae. The record is from RefSeq and is a predicted model, not a curated record.